Molecule: long non-coding RNA, 353 nt
Organism: Gallus gallus (chicken)
Lineage: Eukaryota; Metazoa; Chordata; Aves; Galliformes; Phasianidae
Exons: 3
Source: RefSeq, a predicted model, not a curated record
GCAGUUAAUUACGUGCAGCUGAGAAGCAUAGGACUGACAUCAGUGUUCUCUUCCUCUGUAAUGUACUGAAGCCAAAAUUUGUCAGGGUCAAAACUUAAUGAUCCCCCAGUUACUGUGCAAGAGUGUGCUCCAAGAGUGAUAAUUUGGACAAAUGCAAAUAAGCUACAAUGCAGCAGAAGAAUGUUUCACCUUCCUGGAGUCCUCUCCCUUUUCUUACUGUUUCCUUAGUAGAUUGUUGGCUUGCCAGGCCAGAGACCGCUUUUAUCUUACGACUGAUGCAAAGGAAAGAACUUGUAUUACCAUUAAAGCUCCCUAAAAUGAGAUAAACUAAAUUAAACAUCUGGUGUCAUCAA